UGGGGAAUAUUGGACAAUGGGCGAAAGCCUGAUCCAGCCAUGCCGCGUGUGUGAAGAAGGUCUUCGGAUUGUAAAGCACUUUAAGUUGGGAGGAAGGGCAGUAAGCGAAUACCUUGCUGUUUUGACGUUACUCGCAGAAUAAGCACCGGCUAACUCUGUGCCAGCAGCCGCGGUAAUACAGAGGGUGCGAGCGUUAAUCGGAUUUACUGGGCGUAAAGCGUGCGUAGGCGGCUAAUUGAGUCGGAUGUGAAAUCCCCGAGCUUAACUUGGGAAUUGCAUUCGAUACUGGUUAGCUAGAGUGUGGGAGAGGAUGGUAGAAUUCCAGGUGUAGCGGUGAAAUGCGUAGAGAUCUGGAAGAAUACCGAUGGCGAAGGCAGCCAUCUGGCCUAACACUGACGCUGAGGUACGAAAGCAUGGGGAGCAAACAGG
This 429-nucleotide ribosomal RNA is filed under the name Pseudomonadota bacterium. RNAcentral describes it as "Proteobacteria bacterium partial 16S ribosomal RNA". It matches the Rfam family "Bacterial small subunit ribosomal RNA", at positions 355 to 776 of the family's 1533-position model. The record is from RNAcentral. Lineage: Bacteria; Pseudomonadati; Pseudomonadota.